RNAcentral lists this ribosomal RNA (396 nucleotides) under uncultured bacterium. Its description in RNAcentral is "bacterial SSU rRNA". It matches the Rfam family "Bacterial small subunit ribosomal RNA", at positions 359 to 772 of the family's 1533-position model. The record is from RNAcentral.
GAAUAUUGGACAAUGGGGGCAACCCUGAUCCAGCCAUGCCGCGUGAGUGAUGAAGGCCUUAGGGUUGUAAAGCUCUUUUAGCAGGGAAGAUAAUGACGGUACCUGCAGAAAAAGCCCCGGCUAACUUCGUGCCAGCAGCCGCGGUAAUACGAAGGGGGCUAGCGUUGCUCGGAAUCACUGGGCGUAAAGCGCACGUAGGCGGCUUCUUAAGUCAGGGAUGAAAUCCUGGAGCUCAACUCCAGAACUGCCUUUGAUACUGAGGAGCUUGAGUCCGGGAGAGGUGAGUGGAACUGCGAGUGUAGAGGUGAAAUUCGUAGAUAUUCGCAAGAACACCAGUGGCGAAGGCGGCUCACUGGCCCGGUACUGACGCUGAGGUGCGAAAGCGUGGGGAGCAAA